Gekko japonicus is the source of this 523-nucleotide long non-coding RNA. RefSeq lists it as uncharacterized. Lineage: Eukaryota; Metazoa; Chordata; Lepidosauria; Squamata; Gekkonidae. The transcript is spliced from 4 exons. The record is from RefSeq and is a predicted model, not a curated record.
CUUUUGCUGCAGAGCGGACUCUAAUCUGGGAGAACCAGAAUAUCCAUUUGACAGCCAAGCAACCCUCUGGCGUCACCCUUCGACCUCUCAGGCCAACCUUUGGGACUCGUCUUUGAGGACUCCGAGAAAAUGGCUGCCUCCCAAAACCAACAUUUUGUCUCUCUGGUCAUGAUCCUGGUUUUAGCCGCAACGGUCUGUCCAGGAAUCUCUGGCACAGAAUGGUCCGGCUGUGCCCACUACCGAGGUUACUGUCGAGAGAUGUGCUUCCCCCAGGAAAAAUCGCUGGGCCCCUCGGGCUGUCCUGAAGGCCAGGUCUGCUGCCUGUCCGGCGCUUCGGAGGGCAUCUGGGUCCCAUAAACCCAGUGAGGCAUUGGCGACGAGGAGUCCGCUGACGGAGGAGCGUCUGCCGAGUUUCCGAAGAAUCACAUAUGUCACACGAGUGUGCGUGGGGUUGGGGGAACGGUGGGGCUGUGACUGUAUAAGCGCAACUGUAUCAUUCUAGCAAAAAUAAACCUUGUGUCUG